UGUAUGUAUGUAUAUAUUAUUAUAUGCUGGUACUUUUAUAACGAAUAUAUCUUCUCUUUGACUGUAUAAAAUGUUAAAAAAGAGUUUUGCAACAUUUACAGAUUCCUUAUUUAGCUUAGAGUAAUAGGAUGUCUUAAAAUGUAUGCUCAGAUUUCGCAUUACAUAAUGUAAAAGAAUAUAUAACGUAGAAUGUAAAAAGAGAGAGAUUAACUUUGUCCGUUCCAAACUAGAAAUUGUUUCCAUAAUAUGCCAACACCUCGAGAUAAGAGACCCCGAAGUCUCCGAAGUCUCUGUAUUGUUUCCAUAACUUAUCAUCACCUCAGAUUAAGAGACCUCCAGAUCUCCGUUGUGUUUUGGAUACAUGUCAUCACGUCUGAUAAGGGACUUCUGUUUGGAACAUGUAGAGACCAUAGUACAUACAUGGUCUGGUUUCAGACACGUACUUCUUUGUCGAGAUAACCACGUGGAGAUUUCAUGAUUUUUCUGUAAAGUUCUGUCAUAUUAGAAGCUUCUAGAAAGAUUGCACCACCUUCCGCGUGUCCAAAACCCAUCAGUCUCUUGAAGUUGCCCAUACAAGGAGAAAGAGAUUCAUUACAGACUUUGAAUUCCUGGCGUUUAGAUAUCUCUCUCUCUCUCUCUCUCUCGCCAUACUUGAUAUUAAUGUAACAUAAAUUGGUCACUCUUAACUUUUAGAUUUUCAGAUUUGAGAUUUCUUAGAGUUAUUUAGUAUUAUUUAGUGGUUUUGUGGAAUCUGAACAAACAUUGUACAAGUGUGUAACGGGGCCUUUUUCUUUUUUGAAAUAUGGUGAAUUGUGCAGCAGAAAGAAAUUGGUACCAAGGAGAACCAGUGGACGCCCCCGUUGGAAUGGCCGCUUGAGUCUGCCCUCCACAGCAGCCCUUGCCCAACACGCCAUCAUGCUGGGCAUCAACGAUGCCCAGCUCCAACUCUCCUGGUGGCUCGUGGGCAGCCGAGUGACCACAGUGGACGCCGGGUGGGCACUGUCACAGCUCCACAGGGUGCAGUUGUCUUUGGCCAAAGGCCUUUACGAGGUCGAGGAACUGACGGAGCUGAGGUCCUCCUUCUCCUACUUCGUCAGGGCUCACGCCGAGCGCCUCAAGGACCUCCACACGGCUUCCCCUCUUCCUCAGGCGUGCUUGCCCAGAGCCAGCUCACUUACACUCUCAAGGCCCUACACAGCUUGCAGACGCACGCGGCCCGUCGCGAGAACUUCUGGACCAAGAAAUGAUUCCUCACAUCCACGAGCUGGUCACUUCGAGUAUCAACACACACGCCAAGAAUUGGUGGACAUUAUUAGUAGAAGAACAA
Macrobrachium nipponense is the source of this 1327-nucleotide long non-coding RNA. RefSeq lists it as uncharacterized. The transcript is spliced from 4 exons. The record is from RefSeq and is a predicted model, not a curated record. Lineage: Eukaryota; Metazoa; Arthropoda; Malacostraca; Decapoda; Palaemonidae.